UGGGGAAUAUUGGACAAUGGGGGAAACCCUGAUCCAGCAAUGCCGCGUGAGCGAAGAAGGCCUUAGGGUUGUAAAGCUCUUUCGCCCGCGAAGAUAAUGACGGUAGCGGGAGAAGAAGCCCCGGCUAACUCCGUGCCAGCAGCCGCGGUAAUACGGAGGGGGCUAGCGUUGUUCGGAAUUACUGGGCGUAAAGCGUACGUAGGCGGAUGCGCAAGUUGGGGGUGAAAUCCCGGGGCUUAACCUCGGAAUUGCCCUCAAAACUGCACGUCUUGAGACCGAGAGAGGUAAGGGGAAUUCCUAGUGUAGAGGUGAAAUUCGUAGAUAUUAGGAAGAACACCAGUGGCGAAGGCGCCUUACUGGCUCGGUACUGACGCUGAGGUACGAAAGCGUGGGGAGCAAAC
Molecule: ribosomal RNA, 401 nt
Filed under: uncultured bacterium
Lineage: Bacteria
Description: bacterial SSU rRNA
Rfam family: Bacterial small subunit ribosomal RNA
Source: RNAcentral